CUUUUGGUCCUCUUCACCCCGGCUCUCCAGGGGCUGCCUCUCUUUGUCUGUCUCUCUCCUCUAGGCGUUAGGCCAGGUUCACACAUACUCCGUUUGCAGUGCGUAUGCUGUGCGUAUUUUUAACCCUGCCCAUGUUAACAGAGCAUUCACACUGCAUAUGGAUGCGGUUACAGGAGCGGAGUGGUGCGGUUAUGCAGUGCAUUACAGGAGCGGAGCGGUGCGGUUCUGCAGUGCGUUACAGGAGCGCAGCGGUGCGGUUCUGCAGUGCGUUACAGGAGCGGAGCGGUGCGGUUCUGCAGUGCGUUACAGGAACGCAGCGGUGCGGUUCUGCAGUGCGUCACAGGAGCGCAGCGGUGCGGUGCACCAGUGCAUUACAGGAGCGGAGCGGUGCGGUUCUGCAGUGCGUUACAGGAGCGGUGCGGUUCUGCAGUGCGUUACAGGAACGCAGCGGUGCGGUGCACCAGUGCAUUACAGGAGCGGAGCAGCACACACCAUUGUACUUUCACAUAAGGGUUCGG
Ictalurus punctatus (channel catfish) is the source of this 518-nucleotide long non-coding RNA. The record is from Ensembl. Lineage: Eukaryota; Metazoa; Chordata; Actinopteri; Siluriformes; Ictaluridae.